GCGGUCGUAGCUCAGCUGGAUAGAGCACCAGACUACGAAUCUGGGGGUCAGGAGUUCGAAUCUCUUCGACCGCGCCA
This 77-nucleotide transfer RNA is filed under the name Lichenibacterium minor. Its description in RNAcentral is "bacterium RmlP026 tRNA-Arg". It matches the Rfam family "tRNA". Rfam says of the family: Transfer RNA (tRNA) molecules are approximately 80 nucleotides in length. Their secondary structure includes four short double-helical elements and three loops (D, anti-codon, and T loops). Further hydrogen bonds mediate the characteristic L-shaped molecular structure. tRNAs have two regions of fundamental functional importance: the anti-codon, which is responsible for specific mRNA codon recognition, and the 3' end, to which the tRNAs corresponding amino acid is attached (by aminoacyl-tRNA synthetases). tRNAs cope with the degeneracy of the genetic code in two manners: having more than one tRNA (with a specific anti-codon) for a particular amino acid; and 'wobble' base-pairing, i.e. permitting non-standard base-pairing at the 3rd anti-codon position. The record is from RNAcentral. RNAcentral also lists the same sequence under 1 other name. Lineage: Bacteria; Pseudomonadati; Pseudomonadota; Alphaproteobacteria; Hyphomicrobiales; Lichenihabitantaceae.